AACGAACGCUGGCGGCAGGCUUAACACAUGCAAGUCGAGCGCCCCGCAAGGGGAGCGGCAGACGGGUGAGUAACGCGUGGGAACAUAUCCUUUCCUGCGGAAUAGCUCCGGGAUACUGGAAUUAAUACCGCAUACGCCCUACGGGGGCAAGAUUUAUCGGGGAAGGAUUGGCCCGCGUUGGAUUAGCUAGUUGGUGGGGUAAAGGCCUACCAAGGCGACGAUCCAUAGCUGGUCUGAGAGGAUGAUCAGCCACAUUGGGACUGAGACACGGCCCAAACUACUACGGGAGGCAGCAGUGGGGAAUAUUGGACAAUGGGCGCAAGCCUGAUCCAGCCAUGCCGCGUGAGUGAUGAAGGCCUUAGGGUUGUAAAGCUCUUUCACCGGAGAAGAUAAUGACGGUAUCCGGAGAAGAAGCCCCGGCUAACUUCGUGCCAGCCGCCGCCGUAA
This 447-nucleotide ribosomal RNA is filed under the name uncultured bacterium. Its description in RNAcentral is "partial 16S ribosomal RNA". It matches the Rfam family "Bacterial small subunit ribosomal RNA", at positions 29 to 523 of the family's 1533-position model. The record is from RNAcentral.